UGAUUAGGUAUGCUAUGUAGGACA
This 24-nucleotide non-coding RNA is filed under the name Cricetulus griseus (Chinese hamster). Lineage: Eukaryota; Metazoa; Chordata; Mammalia; Rodentia; Cricetidae. The record is from RNAcentral.